Long non-coding RNA from Oncorhynchus keta (chum salmon), 1168 nucleotides. RefSeq lists it as uncharacterized. The transcript has 6 exons. Lineage: Eukaryota; Metazoa; Chordata; Actinopteri; Salmoniformes; Salmonidae. The record is from RefSeq and is a predicted model, not a curated record.
CUGGUGUGAGAUGGACGGACCUGCUACGACCUCUAGGUUGUAUGAUUGUAGAGUGGCUUUGGGAACUGUUGAGUAACUCUCACGUCACGUGUCAUUACAAAAAACAUUGAGUUCUGUGUGGGCAGUCAAGCAGUAUCAGUGUUAACCAUCAUUUAUAUAGCCAGCCAAUGUUUGGUCCUAAGGGUCUAGUCUAGCUAUAUCUAGGGCCUAGUGGUAUAGAUGGGUCUAGUCUAGCUAUAUCUAGGGCCUAGUGGUAUAGAUGGGUCUAGUCUAGUGGUAUAGAUGGGUCUAGUGGUGUAGUCUAGUUAUAUCUAGGGCCUAGUGGUAUAGAUGGGUGUAGUCUAGUUAUAUCUAGGGUCUAGUGGUAUAGAUGGGUCUAGUCUAGUGGUAUAGAUGGGUCUAGUCUAGUGGUAUAGAUGGGUCUAGUCUAGUGGUAUAGAUGGGUCUAGUCUAGUGGUAUAGAUGGGUCUAGUGGUAUAGUCUAGCUAUAUCUAGGUCCUAGUGGUAUAGAUGGGUCUAGUCUAGCUAUAUCUAGGUCCUAGUGGUAUAGAUGGGUCUAGUCUAGCUAUAUCUAGGUCCUAGUGGUAUAGAUGGGUCUAGUCUAGCUAUAUCUAGGUCCUAGUGGUAUAGAUGGGUCUAGUCUAGCUAUAUCUAGGUCCUAGUGGUAUAGAUGGGUCUAGUCUAGCUAUAUCUAGGUCCUAGUGGUAUAGAUGGGUCUAGUCUAGCUAUAUCUAGGUCCUAGUGGUAUAGAUGGGUCCAGUCUAGCUAUAUCUAGGUCCUAGUGGUAUAGAUGGGUCCAGUCUAGCUAUAUCUAGGUCCUAGUGGUAUAGAUGGGUCUAGUCUAGCUAUAUCUAGGUCCUAGUGGUAUAGAUGGGUCUAGUCUAGCUAUAUCUAGGUCCUAGUGGUAUAGAUGGGUCUAGUCUAGCUAUAUCUAGGUCCUAGUGGUAUAGAUGGGUCUAGUCUAGCUAUAUCUAGGUCCUAGUGGUAUAGAUGGGUCUAGUCUAGCUAUAUCUAGGUCCUAGUGGUAUAGAUGGGUCUAGUCUAGCUAUAUCUGGGUCCUAGUGGUAUAGAUGGGUCUAGUCUAGCUAUAUCUAGGGUCCUAGUGGUAUAGAUGGGUCUAGUCUAGCUAUAUCUAGGGUCCUAGUGGUAUAGAUGGGUCUAGUCUAGC